UACAGCCAUAUCACAUAGAAACACUGGUUCCCACACAAUCACCAAAGUUAAGCAAUGUUGAACCUGGUCAGCAUCUAGAUGGGUGACCACUUGGGAAUACCAGGUGAUGUAAG
Molecule: non-coding RNA, 113 nt
Organism: Acanthosepion pharaonis
Lineage: Eukaryota; Metazoa; Mollusca; Cephalopoda; Sepiida; Sepiidae
Source: the annotation of a GenBank genome assembly